Molecule: ribosomal RNA, 253 nt
Filed under: uncultured bacterium
Lineage: Bacteria
Description: partial 16S ribosomal RNA
Rfam family: Bacterial small subunit ribosomal RNA
Source: RNAcentral
UACAGAGGGGGCAAGCGUUGUUCGGAAUUACUGGGCGUAAAGGGCGCGUAGGCGGCCUUCUAAGUCGAACGUGAAAUCCCUGGGCUCAACCCAGGAACUGCGUCCGAUACUGAAAGGCUUGAAUCCGGGAGAGGGAUGCGGAAUUCCAGGUGUAGCGGUGAAAUGCGUAGAUAUCUGGAGGAACACCGAUGGCGAAGGCAGCCCCCUGGGCUAGCACUGACGCUCAGGCACGAAAGCGUGGGGAGCAAACAGG